GUGCAGUGGGGGUGGGUCUCUGGCCAUGGCAGAUGCUGGAGGGGGGUGGCAGGAGGCUCCAGUGGCAAAGCUUGGGGGGGGAAGGGGGGUUCAGUGUCGG
Non-coding RNA from Chelonoidis abingdonii (Abingdon island giant tortoise), 100 nucleotides. NCBI's taxonomy places the organism in Eukaryota, Metazoa, Chordata, Testudines, Testudinidae. The record is from RefSeq and is a predicted model, not a curated record.